Molecule: ribosomal RNA, 628 nt
Filed under: Blautia producta
Lineage: Bacteria; Bacillati; Bacillota; Clostridia; Lachnospirales; Lachnospiraceae
Description: bacterial LSU rRNA
Rfam family: Bacterial large subunit ribosomal RNA
Source: RNAcentral
UCGGAGGCGCCCAAAGGUUCCCUCAGAAUGGUUGGAAACCAUUCGCAGAGUGCAAAGGCAGAAGGGAGCUUGACUGCGACACCGACGGGUGGAGCAGGUACGAAAGUAGGGCUUAGUGAUCCGGUGGUAUUAAGUGGGAAUGCCAUCGCUCAACGGAUAAAAGCUACCCUGGGGAUAACAGGCUUAUCACUCCCAAGAGUUCACAUCGACGGAGUGGUUUGGCACCUCGAUGUCGGCUCAUCGCAUCCUGGGGCUGUAGUAGGUCCCAAGGGUUGGGCUGUUCGCCCAUUAAAGCGGUACGCGAGCUGGGUUCAGAACGUCGUGAGACAGUUCGGUCCCUAUCCGGCGUGGGCGUAGGAUAUUUGAGAGGAGCUGUCCUUAGUACGAGAGGACCGGGAUGGACGGGCCGCUGGUGUACCUGUUGCAGUGCCAACUGCAUGGCAGGGUAGCCAAGCCUGGAAGGGAUAAACGCUGAAGGCAUCUAAGCGUGAAGCCCCCCUCAAGAUGAGAUAUCCCAUUCUUUAAAGAAGUAAGACCCCUUGAAGACGACGAGGUAGAUAGGGCAGAGGUGGAAGUGCAGCAAUGUAUGGAGCUGACUGCUACUAAUCGGUCGAGGGCUUGACCUGAG